This 484-nucleotide ribosomal RNA is filed under the name uncultured bacterium. Its description in RNAcentral is "bacterial SSU rRNA". It matches the Rfam family "Bacterial small subunit ribosomal RNA", at positions 30 to 507 of the family's 1533-position model. The record is from RNAcentral.
AUUGAACGCUGGCGGCAUGCCUUACACAUGCAAGUCGAACGGUAACAGGGAGCUUGCUCCGCUGACGAGUGGCGAACGGGUGAGUAAUGUAUCGGAACGUACCAUUCAGUGGGGGAUAACGUAGCGAAAGUUACGCUAAUACCGCAUAUUCUGUGAGCAGGAAAGCAGGGGAUCGCAAGACCUUGCGCUGAUUGAGCGGCCGAUAUCAGAUUAGCUAGUUGGUGAGGUAAAGGCUCACCAAGGCGACGAUCUGUAGCGGGUCUGAGAGGAUGAUCCGCCACACUGGAACUGAGACACGGUCCAGACUCCUACGGGAGGCAGCAGUGGGGAAUUUUGGACAAUGGGGGCAACCCUGAUCCAGCCAUGCCGCGUGAGUGAAGAAGGCCUUCGGGUUGUAAAGCUCUUUCGGCCGGGAAAAAAUCGCAUGGGUUAAUACCCUGUGUGGAUGAUGGUACCGGAAUAAGAAGCACCGGCUAACUACGUG